This 497-nucleotide ribosomal RNA is filed under the name uncultured bacterium. RNAcentral's name for it is "partial 16S ribosomal RNA". It matches the Rfam family "Bacterial small subunit ribosomal RNA", at positions 28 to 507 of the family's 1533-position model. The record is from RNAcentral.
GAUGAACGCUGGCGGCGUGCCUAAUACAUGCAAGUCGAGCGAACGGACGAGAAGCUGCCUCCUCUGAUGUUAUCGGCGGACGGGUGAGUAACACGUGGAUAACCUAUCUAUAAGACUGGGAUAACUUCGGGAAACCGGAGCUAAUACCGGAUAAUUAUUUGAACCGUAUGGUUCAAAAGUGAAAGACGGUCUUGCUGUCACUUAUAGGUGGAUCCGCGCUGCAUUAGCUAGUUGGUAAGGUAACGGCUUACCAAGGCAACGAUGCAUAGCCGACCUGAGAGGGUGAUCGGCCACACUGGAACUGAGACACGGUCCAGACUCCUACGGGAGGAAGCAGUAGGGAAUCUUCCGCAAUGGGCGAAAGCCUGACGGAGCAACGCCGCGUGAGUGAUGAAGGUCUUCGGAUCGUAAAACUCUGUUAUUAGGGAAGAACAUAUGUGUAAGUAACUGUGCACAUCUUGACGGUACCUAAUCAGAAAGCCACGGCUAACUACGUG